CCCGCCCCUGCAGCCCUGGCCCUGUGCCCGCUCCCGCCUCCCCCGCUGCUGGGGUCUCCUUGGCACUCGCUGCUCCAGACUCGGGUGAAGCUCUUGCCUGCGGGAGCCCAGUUUCUUCAGGAACCACCCGGAGCAAGAGGGAGGCGAAAAACUCUCUAGUUAUUUCCUUAAGAAGACGACGAGUUUGGAAGAACGAGCUUGAGUCACAGAUAACCUACUCCUUCACCACUUCCAAUGGGACUCGUGCUUACUUGAACUUUUUCGUCUUUUUGCUACUGUGAAUACUAUCAAACUUUUUAGCACCAGACAACAUAUCUACGCCAUAUGAAAUUUCAAUCUUCGUGCCUGCAUUGGAUACCCCUAUACAUUGUUUUUUGGAUCUGCCAACACAAUAAACAUUUCCCGCCACGGGAAUUCCUAUUCUGUCACCUGUUCUAAAUGCGUGUUGUCUAAUUGCCUAACUCCUAAUAUUGUUCAUAAUUUUUCUACUAUGUUUAUGUUAAAAAAAAACCUUCUUAUGUUAUAUUACCUGUUGAUUUACAAGAUACCCCAUAAUUUGACAAUAUUGCUUUACAAGUUAUUCAGGAAUUCAAUGCCUUAAUUUGUUCUAAACAUUUUGUUGCUACGCUUAUUUUAGGUAUUACUGCCUUAAUUGCUAUUGUGACUUCUCUUACAGUUUCGUCUGUUGCCCUGGUUCAGGAAACACAUACUGCUCAUUUUGUUAAUAAUCUCACAAAAAAUGUUACUUUGGCUUUAGCUCUGCAACAUGACAUUGAUCAAAAUCUAAAACACAAACUAACUGCUUUGGAGGAGACAGCACUUGGUACAAAAGUCCAACAAAUUAAAUGACUUCUCUCUACUCGGUGCCAUGCUCAAUUCAGGUUUAUUUGUGUUACGCCCAAACUUUAUAAUUCUUCCUAUAAUUGGGCUUUUAUUAAAAAUCAUUUACUUGGCAUUUGGCGUAAAAGUGACACCAGUCAUAAUUUGUCUUCUCUCCAGGCUGAAAUCUCAGCAAUGAGUCAAGCUCAUUUGUCCAAACCAGCUUUGUCAGAUUUUGCAUCUACGUUUUCUGAGUCCUUACGUUCUUUGGCACCCUCUAAUUGGUUACACUUUCUUAUUUCAUUUGGUGUAAUCAUGCUCAUUGUCUUGAUUUGUUGUCUCAUGGUCCCUAUAUUCUUAAAAAUACUCAGCAAAUCUAUUAAAACUUUACGAAGUGAUGUGCAUCAAAUACAACUUAAAUUUAAAAAUAAAGGGGGAACUGUGGCGGCUCCUGCUCCCCCAAGAGCAAAGUUACCAUUGCCACAAUUUAUCGUUAAUAUAAGAGUGGCUGUACUAUGAAAGUACAUAAGUCUCUCUUCCCCUGUGUGCUGGACAGGACAGUCAAUGACGGGUAAGAUCAGAAAAGAUUUCUGACGACCUAAGACAGGCGCAGUCCCCAAGGGGAUUUUAAUGGUUCCCACCUUUUACUUAUGGAAAAUAACUGAUGGAAAACAAGUCUGGGAAAUGUUGAGACACAACCAAGGCAUGUUGUUAAUCAUUAAUAAUCUAGGUCUUGUACUGAAGAAAUUCAAUUAUGGUGAGAGAAACUGGUUCUAUGACUUCUAGCAAAUGUGUAACCAAGUAGAACUAUAGGAAUAAUAAAUAGUACUAAAAAAAAUAAAAACAUCAUG
Talpa occidentalis (Iberian mole) is the source of this 1670-nucleotide long non-coding RNA. RefSeq lists it as uncharacterized. The transcript is spliced from 3 exons. The record is from RefSeq and is a predicted model, not a curated record. NCBI's taxonomy places the organism in Eukaryota, Metazoa, Chordata, Mammalia, Eulipotyphla, Talpidae.